CUCUGUGUGAUCGACCUCCUCACUAUUUUUCUCACACCCUAGGUACCUUUACACAUUUUUGGCAUAUAGCAGAUGCUCUUAUCCAGAGCAAUUUGUCAGUGCAUUCAUCUUAAGAGAACUAGAUGGGACAACCAAAUAUCACAGUUAUAGUAAGUACAUUUUCCUCAAAGUCAGUGCUUAGUAGUGUGGGUGGGAAAGGUGGGGGCGCUGUGGGAUUUAGUCAAUGCCAGGAGAUUUUCCUGGUUAGGUUACGUGGUCAGGGAACUCCUAGCCCUACAUACUAAACAAUGUAAUAGUAAUGUAUUCAACAGACUAAAACACCUUUUACAUUAACAAAACACCACAUAACUGUAAUGUUUAUCAUACAACAUUUUGUGUCUCUGAUGCUAUAUUGGGUAUUUAUAUAUAAUUUUAAAAAAUCAAGAACAAGGCCCAUACCAGCCUGUAGCCAUGGUAACAUUAGAGGAAUACACAAGACUGAUGACUCUAUCAUUUUAUAGAUAUAUUUACUUGGUCAAACUGUCAGUGUUGUCCUCAGUGUCAUCCAUUUUCUUGUUUAUAUGCGAGUUCUGUAUGUGUAUUGUGUUUUGUUUCCCUUCCAACCUGGUCCCCCAUCUUAACUCUGAGAUGUUGGAGAGGACAUUGAAGGCCCCAGGGUUCCUGUGCUCUGCUACUCAUCCUUUAUCAAGCUCUUUAUGGAUGGCCAGACUUCUUUCCCUGUGACCGAGCACCCAACUGAUGAGAUGGACCCCUCCCAGAUUCUGACCCGGGCCCAGUAGGUACUUCUGAAGACUCUCUGACACCCCCAACCUCACUGUCUCAACAUCAGCUGAACCAGCUGGAGGUCUUAUGUGUUGACCUGGAAGCAGCUCUGAUCUUUCAACUCAGCCCUUCCAGCCUCAGCCAAGAGUUGGACUUCCUCUG
Long non-coding RNA from Oncorhynchus masou masou (cherry salmon), 924 nucleotides. RefSeq lists it as uncharacterized. The record is from RefSeq and is a predicted model, not a curated record. The transcript is spliced from 3 exons. Lineage: Eukaryota; Metazoa; Chordata; Actinopteri; Salmoniformes; Salmonidae.